RNAcentral lists this ribosomal RNA (292 nucleotides) under uncultured bacterium. RNAcentral's name for it is "partial 16S ribosomal RNA". It matches the Rfam family "Bacterial small subunit ribosomal RNA", at positions 505 to 796 of the family's 1533-position model. The record is from RNAcentral.
GUGCCAGCCGCCGCGGUAAUACGUAGGGCGCAAGCGUUGUCCGGAAUCAUUGGGCGUAAAGAGCUCGUAGGUGGUCUGUUACGUCUGCUGUGAAAACCUAGGGCUUAACCCUGGGCCUGCAGUGGAUACGGGCAGACUAGAGGUAGGUAGGGGAGAAUGGAAUUCCCGGUGUAGCGGUGAAAUGCGCAGAUAUCGGGAGGAACACCGGUGGCGAAGGCGGUUCUCUGGGCCUUACCUGACACUGAGGAGCGAAAGCGUGGGGAGCGAACAGGAUUAGAAACCCGCGUAGUCC